Molecule: ribosomal RNA, 101 nt
Filed under: Streptococcus equinus
Lineage: Bacteria; Bacillati; Bacillota; Bacilli; Lactobacillales; Streptococcaceae
Description: 16S rRNA. Bacterial SSU
Rfam family: Bacterial small subunit ribosomal RNA
Source: RNAcentral
AUUAAAUGAGAGUUUGAUCCUGGCUCAGGACGAACGCUGGCGGCGUGCCUAAUACAUGCAAGUAGAACGCUGAAGACUUUAGCUUGCUAAAGUUGGAAGAG